GCAACCAGGCAGCUCCAGUGCUGUUCUUAACAUGGACAGCAGGACAAUGGCUUAUGUGGAGGUUCCCUUUCAAAGAAACUGUCGUGAGAAUGUGAGCUGUGAAGCAGAUCUAGAGCUGGACUUUAAAUUCAUGAACAGCUCACUGCUUGUGGUGGAUCAGGCUUAUUUCAUCAUCACUGUGUCUCUGCUGAAUAAAGGAGAC
Molecule: non-coding RNA, 202 nt
Organism: Electrophorus electricus (electric eel)
Lineage: Eukaryota; Metazoa; Chordata; Actinopteri; Gymnotiformes; Gymnotidae
Source: RefSeq, a predicted model, not a curated record